AGUCCAGUUUCAGGGCUCCUCUCUCUUGGCAGGGAGCAUGUGAAGUCUUUUGUAGCUCACUCAUUUUCAGCCCUCUGCCAAAGGAGAGUUGCCCUAAAACUGGACU
RNAcentral lists this non-coding RNA (106 nucleotides) under Oryza longistaminata (longstamen rice). RNAcentral also lists the same sequence under 4 other names. Lineage: Eukaryota; Viridiplantae; Streptophyta; Magnoliopsida; Poales; Poaceae. The record is from RNAcentral.